Molecule: long non-coding RNA, 200 nt
Filed under: Nicotiana benthamiana
Lineage: Eukaryota; Viridiplantae; Streptophyta; Magnoliopsida; Solanales; Solanaceae
Description: long non-coding RNA (NBEN_LNC000004)
Source: RNAcentral
GUCUGCAGUAGGAGCAGGGUCAGGUGCAGGAAGUGAAUCAGCCGGGCCGGAUGCUGGGCGAGCACGACGAUGAUAUGUCAAGAGUGGAGUGUUGUGUGCAGGGAGUCUAGGAGGAGCCACAGUAGAGGGUCCAACGUUUGGAAUGGGUAAUACUUCUGUAGCGGAAGGUGAAGGAGGAGAUAUAGUAGACUCCCUAAAGG